Canis lupus familiaris (dog) is the source of this 825-nucleotide long non-coding RNA. RefSeq lists it as uncharacterized. The transcript has 4 exons. Lineage: Eukaryota; Metazoa; Chordata; Mammalia; Carnivora; Canidae. The record is from RefSeq and is a predicted model, not a curated record.
CAGGUGUGCUAGGCUACGCCACAGUUUUUACGACAGCGGUUACACCAAUCGACAUUUCACUUGCUUUGUGUCCUUAACAACAGUGCACUAAUAGCAACAGAUGCUGGAGAGGUUCAUAAGGAACAUUCUCUUACCAAUAUACCUUUCUCCCUGAAGCAUUGGAGGAAGGGACACGGAAUAGAAAGAACGACACGUCCCAGAGAUCACACCUGAGUCCAACUGCAACAACCCAUGCAGUUGUACAGUUUUCCUUUAUUUAAUCAAAUGUUCCCUCUGUGCCAAGAAUGAUUCCAGACUCUGUAAUAUAAAAAGAAGUUAAGCAUGGUCUUUUUUAUGAAGUUGCUUACCAUCGUUUGAGGAAAGGUGGGCAAGCAAACCGUUAACUGCAGUGAUUAGAGUAAAGUGUGAUGAUGCUCAGGAGCACAUACGCAUAAAAGACCAUCUCUGUUGGAGGCAUCAUGUGGGGAAAGACAUGCUUUCCAGGGCUCACGGGCCUUGCACAGGCAAGGUGGGGCUCAGUCUGUGCAUGGAGAAGACGCAAGGGCUGAGCACAGGAGAGCAGAACAUGAGGAUCACACGAAGUACGGAGAAAAGCCCCCACAAGAUUUUUCAUGCAAAAGAGGCUUUUUUCUGUAAUUCCAGUGGCUAUCAAAUGCUUCCUUUUUUUUCAAGAGACGUUAAAAUAAGAACUUCUUAUAUGAGUAGCCACCUGGGUGAAGACCUCAAUUGACUGAAAUGGUAAAAUGGGGUGGAAAAAAAUUUACCUGUUUUUUUUUUUUCCCCUCCCUGACGUUGAUUCAUGAUCCAAUGAGGAAUAAACUAUAU